AGGACGAACGCUGGCGGCGUGCCUAACACAUGCAAGUCGAACGGGGAUUUGUUUCGGCAGAAUCCUAGUGGCGAACGGGUGAGUAACGCGUAGGCAACCUGCCCUCCGGCCGGGGACAACACUCCGAAAGGGGUGCUAAUACCGGAUACGAAGUCUGUGCCGCAUGGUACGGAUUUGAAAGAUGGCCUCUAUUUAUAAGCUAUCGCCGGGGGAUGGGCCUGCGUCCGAUUAGCUGGUUGGUGGGGUAACGGCCUACCAAGGCGACGAUCGGUAGCCGGUCUGAGAGGAUGAACGGCCACAUUGGGACUGAGACACGGCCCAGACUCCUACGGGAGGCAGCAGUGGGGAAUCUUCCGCAAUGGGCGCAAGCCUGACGGAGCAACGCCGCCGUGAGUGAGGAAGUUCUUCGGAACGUAAAGCUCUGUUGUUCCUGACGAACCUCCCUUCUAUCAACAACGGAAGGGACUGACGGUAGGGAACGAGGAAGCCACGGCUAACUACGUGCCAGCCGCCGC
RNAcentral lists this ribosomal RNA (515 nucleotides) under uncultured bacterium. Its description in RNAcentral is "bacterial SSU rRNA". It matches the Rfam family "Bacterial small subunit ribosomal RNA", at positions 26 to 518 of the family's 1533-position model. The record is from RNAcentral.